UACCGCAUACGAUCUAUGGAUGAAAGCGGGGGAUCGCAAGACCUCGCGCGAUUGGAGCGGCCGAUAUCAGAUUAGGUAGUUGGUGAGGUAAAGGCUCACCAAGCCGACGAUCUGUAUCUGGGCUGAGAGGACGACCACCCACACUGGGACUGAGACACGGCCCAGACUCCUACGGGAGGGAGCAGUGGGGAAUUUUGUACAAUGGGCGCGAGCCUGAUCCACCAAUGCCGCGUGCAGGAUGAAGGCCUUCGGAUUGUAAACUGCUUUUGUACAGAGCGAAAAGGCUUCCACUAAUACUGGGGGCUCAUGACAUAACCGUAAGAAUAAGCACCGGCUAACUACGUGCCAGCAG
Molecule: ribosomal RNA, 352 nt
Filed under: uncultured bacterium
Lineage: Bacteria
Description: bacterial SSU rRNA
Rfam family: Bacterial small subunit ribosomal RNA
Source: RNAcentral